UAUCCGAUUCCUACGAGGAGGCAGCAGUAGGGAAUCUUCCGCAAUGGACGAAAGUCUGACGGAGCAACGCCGCGUGAGCGAAGAAGGCCUUCGGGUCGUAAAGCUCUGUUGUUAGGGAAGAACAAGUACGAGAGUAACUGCUCGUACCUUGACGGUACCUAACCAGAAAGCCACGGCUAACUACGUGCCAGCAGCCGCGGUAAUACGUAGGUGGCAAGCGUUGUCCGGAAUUAUUGGGCGUAAAGCGCGCGCAGGCGGUCCUUUAAGUCUGAUGUGAAAGCCCACGGCUCAACCGUGGAGGGUCAUUGGAAACUGGGGGACUUGAGUGCAGAAGAGGAGAGUGGAAUUCCACGUGUAGCGGUGAAAUGCGUAGAGAUGUGGAGGAACACCAGUGGCGAAGGCAACUCUUUGGUCUGUAACUGACGCUGAGGGGCGAAAGCGUGGGGAGCAAACAGGAUUAGAUACCCUGGUAGUCCACGCCGUACACGAUAAUUGCUAAGUGUUAGAGGGUUUCCGCCCUUUACUGCUGCAGCUAACUUAAGCACUCCGCCUGGGGAGUACGGCCGCAAGGCUGAAACUCAAAGGAAUUGUCGUGGGCCCGCACAGCGGCGGAGCAUGUGGUCUAAUUUGAACCAAACGAAGAACCUUCAUGGCCUUGACAUGCGAGAACUUUCCCAUAGACCGAUGGGUUCCUCGGGAACUCAGACACAGUUGCUGCAUGGCGGUGUUAGCUCUUUUCUUUAGAUGUUGGGUUUAGUCCCGUAACGAAGGCAACCCUUGUCCUUAGUUACCAGCAUGUUAUUGUGGGCACUCUAAGGAGACUGCCGGUGACAAACCGCAAGAAUUCGGGGAAAGACUUCAACCCUUCUUGCCCCUCCGGCCCAGGGCAACAAAUUUGCUACAAUGUUCGGUACAAAGGGUUGCCAAGCCGCGAGGUGGAGCUAAUCCCAUAAAACCGAUCGUAGUCCGGAUCGCAGUCUGCAACUCGACUGCGUGAAGUCGGAAUCGCUAGUAAUCGCAAAUCAAUCCAUAUGGCUUUCACA
RNAcentral lists this ribosomal RNA (1043 nucleotides) under uncultured bacterium. RNAcentral's name for it is "bacterial SSU rRNA". It matches the Rfam family "Bacterial small subunit ribosomal RNA", at positions 329 to 1367 of the family's 1533-position model. The record is from RNAcentral.